This 230-nucleotide long non-coding RNA is filed under the name Mytilus galloprovincialis (Mediterranean mussel). The record is from RNAcentral. Lineage: Eukaryota; Metazoa; Mollusca; Bivalvia; Mytilida; Mytilidae.
UGCCUGCAUAGUUAUAGCUUGCCAUACGUUUGUAUUGGUUUUGUGGGUGUUCACUCAAAAUUGUAAAUUGUAAUUACAAAAUUGUGUUUGUGAAAUUUAGAUUCACUUUAGUACCACAUUUCGUCUAGUAUAUAUUUCACAAGUGUAUACUACGUACCGCAGUAUUCAAUGAAUAAGAUGAUGAUGACAGAAAGAACAUUAAACGUCAUGUGGCACAUAUUACAUGAAUA